CUACCCUUGACAUGUCCGGAACCCUGCUGAGAGGUGGGGGUGCCCGAAAGGGAAUCGGAACACAGGUGCUGCAUGGCUGUCGUCAGCUCGUGUCGUGAGAUGUUGGGUUAAGUCCCGCAACGAGCGCAACCCUUGUCCCUAGUUGCUACGCAAGGGCACUCUAGGGAGACUGCCGGUGACAAACCGGAGGAAGGUGGGGAUGACGUCAAGUCCUCAUGGCCCUUAUGGGUAGGGCUUCACACGUCAUACAAUGGACGGUACAGAGGGUUGCCAACCCGCGAGGGGGAGCCAAUCCCAGAAAGCCGUUCGUAGUCCGGAUCGCAGUCUGCAACUCGACUGCGUGAAGUCGGAAUCGCUAGUAAUCGCGGAUCAGCAUGCCGCGGUGAAUACGUUCCC
This 396-nucleotide ribosomal RNA is filed under the name uncultured bacterium. Its description in RNAcentral is "bacterial SSU rRNA". It matches the Rfam family "Bacterial small subunit ribosomal RNA", at positions 975 to 1375 of the family's 1533-position model. The record is from RNAcentral.